CGGCUUCUUCGGCUCCGGCGGCGGCAGCUUCUGCACCGUGACAGUCAAAACCCCAUCCUGGCAAACAGCAGAAAUCGCAUCCACGUUCGCGUUCUCCGGCAACACAAACUUCCUCAUGAACUUGCCGACCCUCCGCUCCAUCCUCACGUACUUAGCCCCUUCUCUCUACAGAAGCAUCAAACUAAUGUAGUUUAGAUGUCCAUAUCUUCUAUGCCACAACUGAGAUGACUCUUCAACAGUUGCUCUAUUAGCCAUGUGAGGAUUAACAUAUUCCAAACUUAAUGGAAAGCAUCUGUUUCCUUUCAUUGGAACACUUGCAAUCAGAUCUUCCAUCUGUCUAUCUCCAUAAAUAUCAACCAUGUAAUCACCAAAACACAAGCCAAUGUCCAUGUUCUACCAUCUGCCUUACACUCAAUAAGUUUUUCAUCCAAUCUAGGUACAAUCAUAACUUCUUUAAUAUACCUAGUCACACCUUUCAUCUCAAUCACCAAUGUGCCUUUGCCUAUUGACUGCACUAAAUCUCCAGUGCCCAUUUUAACUCUACACUUCACAUUCUUAUCAACAUCAAUAAGCAAGGAUUCAUGGGAGGUCAUAUGAUUGCUACAUGCACUAUCUACAUACCAUAUAUUCAUACUUCUUCCAAUAGUAGCAGAAUGGCAGGCAUAAAACAUGGUUGCAUAUUCUAUUACCUGAUUCACAUAGUUUACAAGUUUUCCAGACUUGUUUGGUUGAUCACAAUCCUUGAUGAAAUGACCGAAACGAUUGCAUCCAUGACAUUUCGGCUUCCCUUUAAACCAGCACUCACCAUAGUGCAGUUUAUCACAAUGCUUGUAUUUUCCCUUAGACUGAUCAGAUUUUCCUCCUUGAUCAUAUUUGCCACCUCGAUUAGCAAGAUUCUGAGGUUUAGGAUCCCAUUUCUUUCCUUUUGAUUUCCAAUCCUUCUUUGGUUUAGAAUUACCAAACGAGAGAUUUGGUUGGGUUCCUUUUGAAUUCAGAUUCAGAGUACUGAAAGCUCUUUCAAUGGUACUCUCAGCAUGCCUAUCAAGGCGUUGUGCAAACCCUCUUAAUGCUGCAAUCACCUCUUGUACCUCAAUAGUUUCAAUAUCCUUGGUUUGUUCAAUUACAUAACAAACAGGAUCAAACUCCUUAGUUAAGCUUAUGAGCAAUUUCUGAACUAAUCGUUCUCUGGGUAAAUCUUCCCCAUAACCCUUCAUCUGAUUUACCAACUCGAGAAGACGAGUGAGAUACAUAGACAGAGUUUCAUCAUCCUUCAUCCUUGUGUACUCGAAAUCACGGCGUAGACCCUGCAACUUGAUGGAUCUCACUUGCUUAUCACCAUGAAAUUCCUGAUGUAGGAUAUCCCAAGCACCCUUUGAGGUCUCUUCGUUUGAGAUUCUGGGAAAGAUGUCAUCCGAGACAGCUCCUUGGAUUAUACCCAGUGCCUUAGCAUCCUUCAUUAGCUUGUCGCUCAGAGAAACUCUCUCUGACUCCGAUGAGCCUUCAUCUCCAAUCUUCUUAUCCUUCGAUUAUGAAAUUUCAAACCCCUUUUCAAACUAAAUCCCAGAUUCCAUGUGAUUUGAAAAUAGUUCUCAUUCGAAUCUUCCAAAAUUCAUAGUUGUCACCAUUGAAUAUUGGAGCCCGAAGAUCACUACCACCAGAUCCAGCCAUUUGAGACUUGAAUCGACAAAACUGAGUUGGAAAUUUCACGUUGGAUUUCCAAGCACAGCACUCACAGAUCUUACGCCCCGAUUCCAGAUAGAACCUGUGCUCUAGAUACCAUGUUAAGUUUUUAGUAAGCUGAUAUAUUCAGGAAUUGGAUUUUAAAGGAAGCUGAAAAGACAGAGAGGGUGAGAGGCAAGGUUUUUCACAACUGCAACUCUGUUACUAUGCAGAGAGCAACAUUUCAUUCAUAUACAUUCCUUUCUUUUACAUCAGACAUCAUAAUAUCCGUUCAAUUACACGAGUCAAUGUGAUUUUUGACACAUGGCAGAACAAAGCAUAUGAGCCAUUGAAAAAGAGUCUUGAUCUAAGACCAUACACUUGGCAUAUGAGCACAAGUUAUCACAUCAUAAAACAGCUACUCAAUAGAACAAAGAUAAAAUAGAUAAGUAAAUCAUUUACUAACUUGAAAUUAGUAAGCAAUUUACUUUUCAACAAUCACUAGCUAAGUCACCAAUCAAGGCAUAUGGAAUAUGACUAAUUUAAUUAAGAAGACCAUGUGAGUCCCACUUUGAUUGGUUGUUUAUUUUUCUAUCUUCUGAUAUGAUAUGUUUCUUGUCUUAGUAGAGUCAUGUUUUGAUCCAUCUCUCAUUUUUCUUAAUUAAAUUAUUAUCAAGUUUAUAUUAAUUGCGCCUAAACCACAUAUAUAUGAUAGUGCCUUAUGACUAUAUGAGAUACUAAUUAAUAUGAUUAGGUUUCUCUUUGGUGGUAGUGGUAUAAAAGCUUAUAUGAAUGAAUUCCCGUAACCUAAUACUGCUAAUCAUAUAAGUGGAGAAUAUAUAUAGUUGAUAUAUAUUUCAUGAACUAAUACAAGCAAAUGUAAUUAAUGCUAGUGACAUGUAUUAAUUGGCAAAAGUUUUUUACAUGCAUCAACUGUUAAGAGUUGUCAGAGAUUGCAAUAAGACAGAGCCUAAUAUUCUUCUCCAGCUAGAUAUAUUGUUUCUUAGCAUAAGAAUGUGAACAUGAUAUUCCACACAAAUAACGCCCCAUAUGAUAAGAGCAUCUUAGUAAAAUAGGCCAAUUUUUUAUGUCAUGUAGGCAAAAACAUGCUCAACUGGGUGUAGUUAAUUGGGUAGGCAAAUUUUACCCACUUCAACACUGCCCUACUUUCAACAUUAUAGGUAAAUUGGGUUUAACGUCUCUAUUUAUAGUAGAGUAUUUCAUGUGGACGAAGAAGAUAAAUUAAAAUAUAAAAGAUGAAAAAAAUAGUAAAUAAAAUUUUGUCUACUUAAUCUAUUACUUAUUUUAUUAGAGUAACACAUUUCAUAAAAUAAUUGUAAUACAUUUUUAUUUGAUUUGGCGUCAUUGGAAAGUGCGUGAAGGAUUUGAGCUUCUUCUCUACACUUCCAUGGGGCCAGGAAUACGUGCUGUAUAUUUUAUUACCGUCAUAUCAUCAAAAGAUCAAAAAAUAUAUAUGUGUUCUUACAAGUUUUACCAAAAGAAAUGGGAGUAGUGACGUCAGAUUUGUGUAGUUGCUUCUGCUCAAUGCGAUCUGCCAAAGUCGGAUGUACGUCAAACAACACAAUCUUCGCCUCUGAGUUGGGCCAAACUGCUUUUCUGCAACUGGAAGCUUCCUUUUUCGGCGUUUAGCUUUUACAAGUGGCAAAGUGUAGAAGCCAUUCCAGUUUUGACUAAAAAGUGGUUUUCAAUUUUACUAUUUUAGCGGGUUUCGGUUUUACGUUUACUUUGCGGCUUCUAGGGUUUCUUGCUUUUUACUGCCACAAGUGUAAUUGAUUAGGCUGUGUCGGAUUUUUACAGCUAACUAUGAUUAGGAGAAAGAUUAAGCGUAAAAAAAUGUUGUAAAUUUUGCCUUGUUUAUAACCCAGGAAAGAUUUGCUUUGCUUUUUUUAACAUGGAAUAUUGAUAUGUAUUUAAUUAACUACAUGAUAUUGAUACGUAUCCUUUUUAACUUAUCUCUACGCUUUGGUAUAAAUUGAACCAAUCAGAGGAGAAUGAAAACAUGAAAAUUGAUACCUUUUUUUUCAUUUUUGCCUUUAAUCAUGUUUUCGGCUUUUGCUUAUUAUAGUAUGUGGAUUCUAUGUCCAAUCCCACCCAAAAGAAUAGUAAUUGUGCUGCAUAAAUUGGCAUAUAGCGAAGCCCAAUCCAGUACAUACUAAUAAUUGGGUUCUAGCCCAAGCCUUGAAAAACAAUUUCAGGGGAGGAGUUAUAAGCAUAUACUAAUGUGAGAGACCAAGGAAUUAACAUUUGUUAUUCAUCAGUUCAAAUAUGUAUGAGAUGGAUAACCAUAUGAGUAUGUACAUCUAUCUACAUCUAUCACAAAAAUUGAUCGCAUAUCGUAUUGCAGAUGAGUUCUGCCUCCAUUACAGAUGUGGUUUUUUAUGUUCUCACCGCCGAACAAGUAGUUUGUGUUUGGGUUAAAACUUAAACUUUGGGCUUAAAAGGGAGUUGGCCCAAAAGGAGGAGAGAAGCCCGAAGCCUAGCCGAAUCCCAGGAGGCCGAAGAGGCCCUUUUCUGACUAGGUGCAGACCAUGUGAACCACUUGCUCACCUACCCAAAGACCAAAUGGUAUAGACCAGCCAGCUAAUCAGCCCAAAAGUACUUUACAAUGACAGUACAAGUAAAUAGCUGAUGAGUCACUACCCUUCAAGAUGCAUUCGGGCAGGAUUACUGCUACAGGAGGCCAAGCCGAAGUGUCUAUAAAAGAAGAAAGAGAAAUCAGAGUUAAGGACACUCAAUCAAACAAACAAAUACAAGCACAAACUCUGCUCAAAACCCUUUGUGAUAGCUCUGCUACCUUGUCCUAAGCUUGCUGUAGUAUCGAUUUCUUUCUGUAAACUCAUCUCCCUACCCCCAUUUCUAAAAGCUCAAACCCCUUGAUAAACCACAAAGAUAGGAAAUUGCAAGACGAUUAGCCUUACCCGACAAGGUUAAACCUUGCCUGAACCUCUUUGUUUUUGUCUUGUCAUUCAUUAGCCUAGCAAUAUGUUGUAUACUUCCAGUUGUAUUCAAGUUAUUUCUCGUAAGAUGACUAUUAAAAGACUCUCUCAGUGCUGGAAUCCAAUUUGAAUAUGUCUUCACAGUUCAAACCAGAUCUAAGUUCUAAGCUCUCGGGCAUGUAAAAUUGAUCAUUUAAAAGUCCUUGGUCUCAAGGCAGAAAAAAAACCUUAUGUGGACUUAACCCAUCCACGACAAGCUUUGAUAACAAGAAGUCCGAAGUUACUUGGGGUGCAAGUAAUCGAUUUAUUUCUUAGUUUUAUUUCUAUUACAUUAUGAUUAUAGUAGAACGUUUGAGUAUAGAAGGAAUUCUGAUGGGAAGCCUCAAGGCCUAUAUCUGAGGCCAUACAAAGGCAUCUAUUUGUAUUCAUUCUGCUCUACGGGUUCAGAUAAUCAGAAGUAUAAUGGUUAUAACACUUCUGCAAACAAUAAAACAGGCAUCGUAUAUUCGAGUACUGGGUUAGUUCUUGAUCGGAAGCCUCAAGGCCUACAUCUAAGGCCCCACAAAGGCACCCGUCAUAACUAACACGGUCGCUCGGGUAUAUGUGCAACUAAAAUUCAACAUCCAUUUUACAUCGGCCAUGCUAAAGAUAGCAGUGGCACGCCUGAGCACUUAAAAGUUAAUCUUGAUUGUGAGCCUUAAGGCCUACACCUAAGGCCCCACAANNNNNNNNNNNNNNNNNNNNNNNNNNNNNNNNNNNNNNNNNNNNNNNNNNNNNNNNNNNNNNNNNNNNNNNNNNNNNNNNNNNNNNNNNNNNNNNNNNNNNNNNNNNNNNNNNNNNNNNNNNNNNNNNNNNNNNNNNNNNNNNNNNNNNNNNNNNNNNNNNNNNNNNNNNNNNNNNNNNNNNNNNNNNNNNNNNNNNNNNNNNNNNNNNNNNNNNNNNNNNNNNNNNNNNNNNNNNNNNNNNNNNNNNNNNNNNNNNNNNNNNNNNNNNNNNNNNNNNNNNNNNNNNNNNNNNNNNNNNNNNNNNNNNNNNNNNNNNNNNNNNNNNNNNNNNNNNNNNNNNNNNNNNNNNNNNNNNNNNNNNNNNNNNNNNNNNNNNNNNNNNNNNNNNNNNNNNNNNNNNNNNNNNNNNNNNNNNNNNNNNNNNNNNNNNNNNNNNNNNNNNNNNNNNNNNNNNNNNNNNNNNNNNNNNNNNNNNNNNNNNNNNNNNNNNNNNNNNNNNUGGAAGAGGUGAAUGUCGGUUAACCUUACGCCCAUUUUAUGGAGAGGCUGCUCCCAAGUCUCGAACCCGAGACCUACCGCUCAUGAACCAGAAAUAGUAUGCAUAUCAUUAUUUAAUCGAGUCUUGGUAAACCUGAAGUCAUUUGGAAAAACAUAUUGCAAACCUAUUAAUGCCCCAUUUACGUGAGUAACUAACAUGUUCCAAAGCUACUUCCAUAUGAAUGCUUAACAAAAAAACAAACUUAUCUUGAACGCACUAAAAAUGUUUGAUAUCAUUGCAUCUCAUUAAUAUGGUUGUCCAAGAAUGAUAAUGUUUUGUUAUUUAUUGAGAUCACCAUUUCAUUCACUCUUCAUUCACAUUCUAUCAAACAAUUGGAAGACAUGGAUGGAACCAACUCUAAUCUUAAAAAUAGCAACAUCAAGGUAUCCAUGAAUAUACACUAAAGCUCGGAAGAUCGACACUCAAAGUAUCCAUAAACGUUCACCGAAGUUCGAAGGGUUAGCUGACCCCCUACCCCUCAAUGCAUCCGCCACUACUGUCAACCAAGUCGGAAACGAAGAUGUCAUUAAAUCUGUGCCACCACUUGCUGCAUCCAAUGGUUUCCAACUAGAAACUCCCUUCCCGGAAUGGCACCGCCGUGGUGUCCUCAGUGUCAGUGGCAUCCUUAAAUCUUGACAAAAAUGUUGAGAUAUUGGUAUCUCAACAUUGCUCUGUUUUCUAGGUCCGGCGACCAAUCAGAGGCGCCUAACGGAACCGGCAUAGGCUCGAACAGAACCUCAAAGAGGCAGAGAAAUUAUGCAGUACCUCAUCUCAAUCUGUUUAAACUUUAAAAUGCUGACACACGGAACAAAGUAUAUGGUGUAAUUCCAAACACACUCAUAUUACGAACUCUGUUUGAUUACGUUCGUAAAAUGCUCGGUUAUUCGAGUUAUUUGUUCCGUUGAUUCGCGUUUUUGAAGCCAAUUUUAUGAUAACAUAAACAAAAAUGGAAAUAAAACACAUAAUAUGCUUCAUUGAUCUGAAAAACCAACAAGCUUAUAAUACCACAACACAAACAUAACAAACACAUCCAGAAUACACCAACGAAGCCCUAAAAUCCACACACAAACCCUUAUGUUAUAAUCCCUGCACGAUUAUUCUCAUAACCCAAAUCACAGAAACAGUUUCAAGCAAUCUUGACCUCGAUUGUCUUCGGCUUCUUCGGCUCCGGCGGCGGCAGCUUCUGCACUGUGACAGUCAAAAACCCCAUCCUGGCAAACAGCAGAAAUCGCAUCCACAUUAGCAUUCUCCGGCAACACAAACUUCCUCAUGAACUUGCCGACCCUCCGCUCCAUCCUCACGUACUUAGCCCCUUCCUUCUCCUCCUCCCGCUUCCUCUCGCCGCUGAUCAGAAGCACAUUGUCGUCCUCCACCUGGACCUUGAUGUCCCCGGACUUCAGUCCCGGCAUGUCCACCACGAACACGUAGGAGGUCGGGUACUCCUUGACGUCUGCCGGCGUGGAGGCCAUGGCCUUGGCGUCGCGGAAGUAGGUCCGGGUGGGGGCGUUGAAGGAUUUCUCGGCGUCGUCGGCGGCGUCGAUGAUGUGCUGAAGUGUGGAGAAGAGCGGGGCAUCCAAACCCUGGAUUCUGACAUCCAUUCUUCCCUUCUUGGUGGGUGGAAUUUUUGCUUUUCGGUUUUGAUUUGAAGGCUUUUGUGAGUUUUCGAGUGGGAAUCUCGUCGCUGUUACGGAGGGGAGUAGUGGUUGUGGGUAUUUAUAGGAGGAGUUGAGGGAGGACGGGGGUUAGCGGGGAGGGAAAAUGAAUGUUCUGGAGAAACGUGGAAGGAAGGGAGGAGGUUCCAGUAGGUCCCAUUUCUUCUGUGAGCGUCUAGAACAUUCUGGAAGCGUUUACUAGGUAGGGGCAGGGCCCCUAUAGCCAUUUAUGAGAUAUUUUGUUGGGAAAGAACCAAAAAGCUAAAAUAGAUAACAGUACUAAAUUAAAAGAUAAUCACCAAAAAGCAAAAGAGAAAAAUGUGACGAAGAUAAUCGUGCACUUAAUUUUGUUAUGUGAAGAAACAAACGAAAAUUAAUUCGAUAAAUCGACGGCUAGAGGUAUUCUCCCUGUUUGGUUCAAUCAUUUAGGGCACUUUUCAAAUUACAUAGAUAAUGAGUUAAAUGACUAGUUUGAUUAACAUUUCAUAAAUAAUAUAACAAUGGUCAAUCUACUGGGACGAACACUUCAUAAAUAAUGUAACAAUGGUCAAUCUAAUGAUAUUCUUGGUGACGAAUUGAGAAUAUAUUAAAUAUGAGCCACCAAAAGACAAGUAAAUUCCUAGUAGCACCACUUUUUAAAUUAUUAAAUAAUAUUAUUAUUAGAAAAAAAAGUAAACUCUAAAAUAAGGUUAUCAAUUGGUACACAAAUAAGAGCUCGUUUUGAUGUGCUUUUAAAAUAAUUGAAAAUACUUUUAAAGAAAAUAUUUGUAGGUUCCAAAAGCACUUAAGUGUUUUCUACAAAAAUAACCAUUUAUGUGCUUCUUUCAAGAAGCACUUUAUGUGCUUUUCUAAGAUUUACUACUAUUUUUACUAAGGAUUGUUUCCAAAAAAUAUUUUCACUAAAAGCGCUUUCAGUCAUUUUAAAAACAUAUCCAAACGAAUCCCAAGUUAUUAAAAAUGCUGGUUUUAUAUCCAAAUUGGAAGAUUACAAUAUAUAUCUGAAGUCAAGACGGCACCCACCUUCCUUUCCUUCUUUUUCUUUUUAUAUGAAAGACCAAAAUGAAAAACAGAAACAAAGCAUACAAAUUUACAGCAAACACAGAAAACCAAAUAGGCCAACAACAACAAAACAACAACAACAAAGCCUUUUCCCACUAAGUGGGGUCGGCUAUAUGAAUCCUAGAACGCCAUUGCGCUCGGUUUUGUGUCAUGUCCUCCGUUAGAUCCAAGUACUCUAAGUCUUUUCUUAGAGUCUCUUCCAAAGUUUUCCUAGGUCUUCCUCUAUCCCUUCGGCCCUGAACAUCUGUCCCGUAGUCACAUCUUCGAACCGGAGCGUCAGUCGGCCUUCUUUGCACAUGUCCAAAUCACCGGAGCCGAUUUUCUCUCAUCUUUCCUACAAUUUCGGCUACUCCUACUUUACCUCGGAUAUCCUCAUUCCCAAUCUUAUCCUUUCUCGUGUGCCCACACAUCCCACAAAGCAUCCUUAUCUCCGCUACACCCAUUUUGUGUACGUGUUGAUGUUUCACCGCCCAACAUUCUGUGCCAUACAACAUCGCUGGCCUUAUUGCUGUCCUAUAAAAUUUUCCCUUGAGCUUCAGUGGCCUACGACAGUCACACAACACGCCGGAUGCACUCUUACACUUCAUCCAUCCAGCUCGUAUUCUAUGGUUGAGAUCUCCAUCUAAUUCUCCGUUCUCUUGCAAGAUAGAUCCUAGGUAGCGAAAACGGUCGCUUUUUGUGAUCUUCGCUAGAUUGCUCCGGUCAUUAGUGUGGAUAAGUAUAUAAAUGGAUAGAGAUAGGAAAGCAAACACAAGAUGUACGUGCUUCACCCAGAUUGGCUACGUCCACGUAAUAGAAGAGUUCUCAUUAAUUGUGAAGGGUUUACACAAGUACAUAGGUUCAAACUCUCCUUUAGUGAGUACAAGUGAAUGAUUUAGUACAAAUGACAUUAGGAAAUAUUGUGGGAGAAUGAUCUCGUAAUCACGAAACUUCUAAGUAUCGGAGUGUGGUGUCGUCUUGACUUGCCUUAUCUGUCUCAUAGGUAGAUGUGGCAUCUUCUCUGGAAGUACUCUUCCUCCAUCCAGGGGUGGUAUCUUUAACUGGUGGAGAUGCACAAGGUAAUGUAUCAAUUUCACUUGAAGCUUACUUGUAGUUUCAGGCUUGGUCAAGCGCGAUACAAACCAUGUAGUAGGAGUCCCCCAAGUCGCCGAGCUAGGGGGUCUGCUGAAAGAGGUGACAGACAAGGUAAGCAAUCAGAGCUCCGACUAAUUGUUCACCUUCUCCCCAUCUUGCAGCAGCAUGAAGGAUAAAGAGAAGAAAAAUGAGAAGAGAUGAUAUGAGAUACUUUUGCUUUUGAAGAAGUAACUUUCCACAGGCUUAUUCUUAAACUGAGCUGGAGGGUUUUCUGGUUUCCUCCAGAGUAUAAGGCCGACUGAAGAAUUUGAGGGUCAAAACAAGUCCAUCAAAUCUAGAGUACGUUCCACCCUGCUGAUAUGGGAUACUUUUGCUUUUGACAGAGUAAUGGAUGUAUCGGCACGUGUGCUGUUACGCUUGUCUCCACAUGCUUCCUUGUAUCCUUCGCACUUGCCCUAUCUGUUCCUCAAGCAGAUGCGGAAUCUUCCCUGGAAACAUAAGAUGUUGAAGAUGAGUACUCGAGAGCAAUGCCAGGUAAGUAAUCAGGUAAGGGGUUCCAGGCAGUCAGUUCCUGGCUGGAAGCUUGAUUCCAAGUGCUGACUGAUUGCUCUCUUUCUCCUUGUCUUGCAGGUAAAAAACAAGGCCAAAGGAAAAGACAGGGAAAAAGCAUGAUAUGGGAUACUCUUGCUUUUAACCCUGAUGAUAUGAGAUAUUCUUGCUCUAGUAUAGCUUGUUUGCAGAGGUAUUAUCGGGGGGAAAGAAAGCUGAAUAUUUCGAAAGGCUUCGUUGGGAGUGCCCUCUCAGAUAUGAUGAAGGGUUGAGCAUUUUUGCAAGUCUGCCUGUCCGUUGGGGAUGGAGGUCGACAUAUAUAGGAGUCUCCCUAACAACAAGUAGUAAUGCUAUUCCUUUACCCUGCUUGGUCAUAGCACGGUAGUGGGAGCUGCCAGUUUCACAUGUUUUAACUCUGUCAGAGCACUUUGAAAAAGUGGUCUGUGGUAUCUGGCUCUCGAGAUUCGAAGAACGAUGCCUCUUCGAUUUUUGAGAAAGCAAUCAUGCUGGGGGUCUAGCUCUCGAGAUUCGGAGAGCAGUGUCUCUUCGAUUUUUGAGGAAGUAAUCAUGUUAGGAGUCUGGCUCUCGAGAUUCGGAGGGCGGUGCCUCUUCGAUUUUGGAGCAAGCAAUCUUGUUGGGAGUGUUGUCUCGAAUGUGAGUAAAGGUUGGGCAUGUUUGCUAGUCUACCUUGCCCCGAAGCACAAAGGUUGACACACAGGGACUUUCCAAUUAUCCUAGCAAUGGUACUGUUCCUUUACCCUCUCUUCGCUUUUGAGAAAGUAGUCAUGUUGGGAGUCUGGCUCUCGAGAUUCGGAGGACGGUGCCUCUUCGAUUUUGGAGCAAGCAAUCUUGUUGGGAGUGUUUUCUCGAAUGUGAGUAAAGGUUGGGCAUGUUUGCUAGUCUACCUUGCCACGAAGCACAGAGGUUGACACACAGGGAACUUUCCAAUUAUCCAGCAGUGGUACUGUUCCUUUACCCUUGUGGGUAAUAAUAUGGUAGCUAGACCUUCAAAAUUUAUGUGUCUAAACUUUGUUAGUGCUGUUUCUUUGCUAUUCUUUUACCUUUCUUGGUCAGAGCGAUGUAGUGGGAGCUGCAAGCUUCACGUGCUCAACUUUGGCAGAGAACUUUGGCAAAGUUAUCUGUGGUACCCAUGAGCUAUUGUUGCGUGUGGGAAGUGGGUGAUUGAACAGUAAGAUUCAUGUGCUUUCUACUUCACCAGAAGUCUUCGACAGAAUGCCCAUAAUUUCUGCAAAGCUGAGUGUGCGUGUGACAGGUGCUGACAAGGCUAGAAAAGUAGGUGCCUCUUCGAUUUCUGAGAUCGGCCCUCGUGGUCUCUGAGCAGCCCAGCUUUUGAGAAAGCGAGCGCCUCUUCGAUUGAUUCGGAGAACGAUGCCUCAUCGAUUUUUGAGAAAGCAAUCAUGCUGGGGGUCUGGCUCUCGAAGAUUCGGGGAGCAGUGUCUCUUCGAUUUUUGAGAAAGUAAUCAUGUUGGGAGUCUGGCUCUCGAGAUUCGGAGGGCGGUGCCUCUUCGAUUUUGGAGCAAGCAAUCUUGUUGGGAGUGUUUUCUCGAAUGUGAGUAAAGGUUGGGCAUGUUUGCUAGUCUACCUUGCUACGAAGCACAGAGGUUGACACACAGGGACUUUCCAAUUAUCCAGCAAUGGUACUGUUCCUUUACCCUCUCUUCGAUUUUUAAGAAAGUAGUCAUGUUGGGAGUCUGGCUCUCGAGAUUCGGAGGACGGUGCCUCUUCGAUUUUGGAGCAAGCAAUCUUAUUGGGAGUGUUUUCUCGAAUGUGAGUAAAGGUUGGGCAUGUUUGCUAGUCUACCUUGCCACGAAGCACAGAGGUUGACACACAGGGACUUUCCAAUUAUCCAGCAGUGGUACUGUUCCUUUACCCUUGUGGGUAAUAAUAUGGUAGCUAGACCUUCAAAAUUUAUGGGUCUAAACUUUGUUAGUGCUGUUUCUUUGCUAUUCUUUUACCCUUCUUGGUCAGAGCGAUGUAGUGGGAGCUGCAAGCUUCACGUGCUCAACUUUGGCAGAGAACUUUGGCAAAGUUAUCUGUGGUACCCAUGAGCUAUUGUUGCGUGUGGGAAGUGGGUGAUUGAACAGUAAGAUUCAUGUGUUUUCUACUUCACCAGAAGUCUUCGACAGAAUGCCCAUAAUUUCCGCAAAGCUGAGUGUGCGUGUGACAGGUGCUGACAAGGCUGGAAAAGUAGGUGCCUCUUCGAUUUCUGAGAUCGGCCCUCGUGGUCUCUAGGGAGCCCAGCUUUUGAGAAAGCGAGCGCCUCUUCGAUUUCUGAGAUCGGACCUUGUGGUCUUUGAGCAGCCCAACUUUUGAGAAAGCAAACGCCUCUUCGAUUUCUGAGAUCAACCCUCGUGAUCUCUAAGCAGCCCAGCUUUUGAGAAAGCAAACGCCUCUUCGAUUUCUGAGUAGGCGCCUCUUCGAUUUCUGAAGCUCCGUCGAGUGCAGAUUUUUAUAGGGGCUGGCAUUAAGUUCCAAAGCACACUUGAAUCUCCACCAGUAGAAGCUUCAUUCUUGCACUUCUAAGAUCUUGAUUUGUCCGACCUCUUCUCUCUUCAACACCUUUGAAAAUGUCUGGCCCCUCCGACCGUCGUUUUGACUUGAACCUUGUUGAAGAGGCAGCCCCGCCUUCUCCAGACAACAUAUGGCGCCCAUCCUUCGUCUCCCCUACUGGUCCUCUUACCGUUGGGGAUUCCGUGAUGAAGAAUGAUAUGACCGCUGCGGUGGUGGCCAGGAACCUUCUCACUCCCAAAGAUAACAGACUACUUUCCAAACGGUCUGAUGAGUUAGCUGUUAAGGAUUCGCUGGCUCUCAGUGUUCAGUGUGCAGGUUCUGUGUCUAAUAUGGCCCAACGCCUAUUUGCUCGAACCCGCCAAGUUGAAUCAUUGGCGGCUGAAGUGAUGAGUCUCAAACAGGAGAUUAGAGGGCUCAAGCAUGAGAAUAAACAGUUGCACCGGCUCGCACAUGACUAUGCUACAAACAUGAAGAGGAAGCUUGACCAGAUGAAGGAAACUGAUGGUCAGGUUUUACUUGAUCAUCAGAGAUUUGUGGGUUUGUUCCAAAGGCAUUUAUUGCCUUCGUCUUCUGGGGCUGUACCGCGUAAUGAAGCUCCAAAUGAUCAACCUCUGAUGCCUCCAUCCUUCUAGGGUUCUGUCCAGUACUGAGGACUCCAAAUGAUCCCCCUCCGGUGCCUUCUCUUUCUGGGGCUCUACCGACUGCUGAGACUUCUCCUAAGCAACCUUUGUGAAGGCUCCCUCUUGUGUGUUUAUUUUGACUCAUGUAUAUGUACAUAUUUGUAGCUUAUCGGGGAUAUCAAUAAAUAAGCUUUCCUUCAUUUCAACGUAUUGUGUUAAAUACACCAAAGCCUUCUUCGCUAAGUUCUUUGAAUUUUCUUUUGUUGAAGCUUGUAUGUUGAAGCUUUCUGAGUGGAGCAUGUAGGUUGGGGUAGUGUUCCCUUAAUUUCCGAGUGAGUGAGGAAAACUUCUCGGUUGGAGACUUGGAAAAUCCAAGUCACUGAGUGGGAUCGGCUAUAUGAAUCUUAGAACGCCAUUGUGCUCGAUCCUGUGUCAUGUCCUUCGUUAGAUCCAAGUACUCUAAGUCUUUUCUUAGAGUCUCUUCCAAAGUUUUCCUAGGUCUUCCUCUACCCCUUCGGCCCUGAACCUCUGUCCCAUAGUCGCAUCUUCUAAUCGGAGCGUCAGUAGGCCUUCUUUGCACAUGUCCAAACCACCGUAACCGAUUUUCUCUCAUCUUUCCUUCAAUUUCGGCUACUCCUACUUUACCCCGGAUAUCCUCAUUCCUAAUCUUAUCCUUUCUCGUGUGCCCACACAUCCAACGAAGCAUCCUCAUCUCCGCUACACCCAUUUUGUGUACGUGUUGAUGUUUCACCGCCCAACAUUCUGUGCCAUACAGCAUCGCCGGCCUUAUUGCCGUCCUAUAAAAUUUUCCCUUGAGCUUCAGUGGCAUACGGCGGUCACACAACACGCCGGAUGCACUCUUCCACUUCAUUCAUCCAGCUUGUAUUCUAUGGUUGAGAUCUCCAUCUAAUUCUCCGUUCUUUUGCAAGAUAGAUCCUAGGUAACGAAAACGGUCGCUCUUUGGUAUUUCUUGAUCUCCGAUCCUCACCCCUAACUCGUUUUGGCCUCCAUUUGCACUGAACUUGCACUCCAUAUAUUCUGUCUUUGAUCGGCUUAGGCGAAGACCUUUAGAUUCCAACACUUCUCUCCAAAGGUUAAGCUUUGCAUUUACCCCUUCUUGAGUUUCAUCUAUCAACACUAUAUCGUCUGCGAAAAGCAUACACCAAAGGAAUAUCAUCUUGAAUAUGUCCUGUUAACUCAUCCAUUACCAACGCAAAAAGGUAAGGACUUAAGGAUGAGCCUUGAUGUAAUCCUACAGUUAUGGGAAAGCUUUCGGUUUGUCCUUCAUGAGUUCUUACGGCAGUCUUUGCUCCUUCAUACAUAUCCUUUAUAGCUUGGAUAUAUGCUACUCGUACUCCAUUUCUUCUCUAAAAUCCUCCAAAGAAUGUCUCUUGGGACCCUAUCAUACGCUUUUUCCAAAUCUAUAAAGACCAUGUGUAAAUCCUUUUUCCCAUCUCUAUAUCUUUCCAUCAAUCUUCGUAAGAGAUAGAUUGCCUCCAUGGUUGAGCGCCCUGGCAUGAACCCGAAUUGGUUGUCCGAAACCCGUGUCUCUUGCCUCAAUCUAUGCUCAAUGACUCUCUCCCAGAGCUUCAUUGUAUGACUCAUUAGCUUAAUACCCCUAUAGUUCAUGCAAUUUUGUACGUCGCCCUUAUUCUUGUAGAUAGGCACCAAAGUGCUCGUUCGCCACUCAUUUGGCAUCUUCUUCGUUUUCAAAAUCCUAUUGAAAAGGUCAGUGAGCCAUGUUAUACCUGUCUCUCCCAAAAGUUUCCACACUUCGAUUGGUAUAUUGUCUGGGCCUAUUGCUUUUUUAUGCUUCAUCUUCUUCAAAGCUACAACCACUUCUUCCUUCCGGAUUCGACGAUAAAAAGAGUAGUUUCUACACUCUUCUGAGUUACUCAACUCCCCUAAAGAAGCACUCAUUUCAUGUCCUUCAUUGAAAAGAUUAUGAAAAUAACCUCUCCAUCUGUCUUUAACCGCGUUCUCUGUAGCAAGAACCUUUCCAUCCUCAUCCUUGAUGCACCUCACUUGGUUUAGGUCCCUUGUCUUCUUUUCCCUUGCUCUAGAUAGUUUAUAGAUAUCCAACUCUCCUUCUUUGGUAUCUAGUCGUUUAUACAUAUCGUCGUAAGCCGCUAACUUAGCUUCUCUGACAGCUUUCUUCGCCUCUUGCUUCGCUUUUCUAUACCUUUCACCAUUUUCAUCGGUCCUCUCCUUGUAUAAGGCUUUACAACAUUCCUUCUUAGCCUUCACCUUUGUUUGUACCUCCUCAUUCCACCACCAAGAUUCCUUUUGGUGUGGGGCAAAGCCCUUUGGACUCUCCUAAUACCUCUUUUGCUACUUUUCGGAUACAACUAGCCAUGGAAUCCCACAUUUGGCUAGCUUCCCCCUCUCUAUCCCCACACACAUUGGGUGAUUACCUUCUCUUUGAAAAUGACUUGUUUUUCUUCUUUUAGAUUCCACCAUCUAGUCCUUGGGCACUUCCAAGUCUUGUUCUUUUGUCUUACUCUUUUGAUAUGUACAUCCAUCACCAACAAGCGAUGUUGAUUAGCCACGCUCUCUCCUGGUAUAACUUUGCAAUCCUUACAAGUUAUACGAUCCCCUUUCCUCAUUAGAAGAAAAUCUAUUUGUGUUUUUUACGACCCACUCUUGUAGGUGAUCACAUGUUCUUCUCUCUUCUUAAAGAAGGUGUUGGCUAAGAAGAGAUCAUAUGCCAUUGCAAAAUCCAAGAUAGCUUCCCCAUCCUCGUUUCUCUCCCCAAAAUCAUGGCCACCAUGAAAACCUCCAUAGUUGCCUGUCUCCCUGCCCACGUGUCCAUUUAAAUCUCCUCCUAUAAAAAUAACUUCUCCGUCUGAGCAAUUCCUUGCACCAAGUCUCCAAGAUCUUCCCAAAAUUUCUCCUUCGAACUCGUAUCCAACCCUACUUGAGGUGCGUACGCACUAAUCACAUUGAUAAGUUCUUGUCCUAUUACAAUCUUGAUUGCCAUGAUUCUAUCUCCUACCCUCUUGACAUCUACAACAUCUUGUACCAAGGUCUUGUCCACGAUGAUGCCAACACCAUUUCUCGUUCUAUUUGUGCCCGAAUACCAAAGUUUAAACCCUGAGUUUUCUAGAUCCUUUGCCUUACUACCAACCCACUUAGUUUCUUGUAGGCACAUAAUAUUUAUCCUUCUCCUCACCAUAACUUCCACUACUUCCAUAGAUUUUCCCGUUAAGGUUCCUAUAUUCCACGUUCCUAAACGCAUUUUGCUCUCUUGAACUCUACACUUCUGUCCUAGCUUCUUCACCCUCCCCCGUCUAAUAGGAUCAAAGUACUUCUUUUGUGUGUCCCGGGUAAAGUUGAUAGGAGCAUAUGCUCCCAAACAACUUUGAGUGGAGUCGUUCGAAAAGAAGUUUCUAUGGCCCCCUUGCUCAUUUAACACUGCAUCCGGGUGCCGAUGGAGAUACAGCGACCCUUGCUCGCUUAUCACUGUGCUCGGGCCACACAGCGCGCCACUUACGGGUGACGCCCUAGCUUUAACGCGAUUUUGUUCUGGAUUCAUUUUCAUAAGGAUUCGACGUGAUCAUGGAGUGCCGGCUGUCGACUACCUGACGCCCUCCCCCUCCUCCUUUAUCCGGGCUUGGGACCGGCCAUGUAAGACAUAGGCGGAGUUGAAAACCAAAUAGGCCAAAUUGAAUUAUUCAUCCUUGUGGUCAUAGGAAACUUGCAUGAUGACCCCGUGAUGAAAAAAUUAGGAAUUAAACCCCUGUGGUCAAGAAUGUUAGAAAAUUUAGUCCAAAAGUAAGAUUUCUGUUAAAUGACUGUUAAAAGUAUGGGUAAAACUGUAUUUUCAGUUCCAAUUGACAUUUAAAAUAAAUAUUUUUUAUAACAAUUAACAAAAAAAAUAAUGCUUAAUUUUUUAAAUAAAAAAAAGCCCCAAUUCAAUGUCAAUUGAAACUGAAAAUACAGUUUUACUCCAACUUUUAAGUUUUAACAGUCCUUUAACAGAAAUCUUACUUUUGGACUAGAUUUGCUAACAUUUUAGACCAUCGGGAUUUAAUUCCUAGUUUUUUCACCAUAGGGGUCAUCAUGCAAGUGUCCUAUGACCAUGGGAUGAACAAUUCAAUUUGGCCAACCAAAUAACACGAUGCAUAUAUACUUCAUCGACAAAUAUAUAUAUACCGCCACCGCUACUCAGUAGUAUCCUCAUGUACACUGAUCAUGCACUGCCAUCAGAGCAAGCCGAUCUCUGCCUGCUUGUCAAGCCCUUCAACUUUGCCAUUCAUACCCACCGGCACCACGUUCCCCACCGCCCUGUCCACCUUGCCAACCACAUUCCUCUUGGCCACCUUCUUCCCAGCCUUGACCACCUUUGCCUCCCUAGCCACCGCCUUCCCUACCACGUUCCUCUUGGCCACCUUCUUCGGAUUAUACUCGGAUUAUUUCAACAAUAUAAAUUAAUGCAUACUGCUUUUGCCAGUUCCGGAAGUGGAGAGAGCUGUUUACAGCACAUGCUCUGUUGAAGGAUCCAGAAAAUAAUAUUAGGAGGAUCAGUAAGAAUAAUACGCAAUAUUUUUUACCAAAAAUAGCAUGCAUAUCGCUAUUUCAUCGAGUCUUAGGUCGUCUAAGAUCAUUUAGAAAUGAAUGCCCCCUCAUUUACGAGAGUAACUAACAUCUUCUAAGACUGCUCCCAUAUAAAUGCUUAACAAAAAAACACACUAACAAUGUUUGAUACCAUUACAUCCCAUUAAUAUAUUUAUCUAAGAAUAAUGAUGUUUUGUUAUUCACUGAGAUGAUCAUUUCAUUCACUCUUCUUUCAGACAUUUUAUCAAAUAGUUAGAGAGCAUGAAUGAAGCCAACUUUAAUCUUCAAAAAGGCACACUGAAAUUCGAAGCAUCAGCACCUAAGAUGUACCCAUGAACGUUCAUCGAAGUUGGAGAGGUCAGCUGACCCCUGUGCAUCCGCCACUGCUGUGAACUAAGUCGGAAACGAAGAUGUCAUUAAAUCUGUGCCACCACUUGCCGCAUCCAAUGGUUUCCAACUAGAAACUCCCUUCCCGGAAUGGCACGGCCGUGGUGUCCCCAGUGUCGAGGGCGGUAAGUGGCAUGCUUAAAUCUUGACAAAAUGUUGAGAUAUUGGUAUCUCAACAUUGCUCUGUUUUCUAGGUCCGGCGAUGAAUCAGAAGCGCCUAACGGAACCGGCAUAGGCUCAAAACAGAACCUCGAAGAGGCUGAGGAAUUACGCAGUGCCUCAUCCCAAUCUGUUUAAAAUGCUAACACACGGAACAACGUAUAUGGCGUAAUUCCAAACACACAUAUUACGAACUUUGUUUGAUUACGUUCGUAAAAUGCUCGGUUAUUCGAGUUAUUUGUUCCGUUGAUUCGCGUUUUUGAAGCCAAUUUUAUGAUAACAUAAACAAAAAUGGAAAUAAAACACAUAAUAUGCUUCAUUGAUCUGAAAAACCAACAAGCUUAUAAUACCACAACACAAACAUAACAAACACAUCCAGAAAACACCAACGAAGCCCUAAAAUCCACACACAAACCCUUAUGUUAUAAUCCCUGCACGAUUAUUCUCAUAACCCAAAUCACAGAAACAGUUUCAAGCAAUCUUGACCUCGAUUGUCUUCGGCUUCUUCGGCUCCGGCGGCGGCAGCUUCUGCACCGUGACAGUCAAAACCCCAUCCUGGCAAACAGCAGAAAUCGCAUCCACGUUCGCGUUCUCCGGCAACACAAACUUCCUCAUGAACUUGCCGACCCUCCGCUCCAUCCUCACGUACUUAGCCCCUUCCUUCUCCUCCUCCCGCUUCCUCUCGCCGCUGAUCAGAAGCACAUUGUCGUCCUCCACCUGGACCUUGAUGUCCCCGGACUUCAGUCCCGGCAUGUCCACCUCGAACACGUAGGAGGUCGGGUACUCCUUGACGUCUGCCGGCGUGGAGGCCAUGGCCUUGGCGUCACGGACGUAGGUCCGGGUGGGGGCGUUGAAGGAUUUCUCGGCGUCGUCGGCGGCGGCGUCCAUGAUGUGCUGAAGUGUGGAGAAGAGCUGGGCUUCCAAACCGGGGUUUCUGAUGUCCAUUCUUCGCUUCUUGGUGGGUGGAAUUUUCGCUUUUCGGUUUCGAUUUGAAGGCUUCCGUGAAUUUUCAGUGGGAAUCUGGUCGUUUUGGAGGGGAGUGGUGGUUAUGGGUAUUUAUAGGAGGAAGAUUUGAGGGAAGACGUGGGUUAGCGGGGAGGGACAAAGGAAUGUUCUGGAGAAACGUGGAAGGAAGGGAGGAGGUUCCAGUAGGUUCGCUUAAUUUCUUCUGUGAGCGUCUAGAACAUUAUGGAAGCGUUUACUAGAGGCGGCCUCUUUAGCCAUUUACGAGAUAUUUUGUUGAGAAAGAGUCAAAAAGUUAAAAUAGAUAACAGUACUAAAUUAAAAGAUAAUCCCAAAUAAAAAACAGAAAUAUAUGAAGACGAUAAAAAACAAACGAAAAUUAAACUCGGCACCUGUGGUUAUGGUAUUUCAAAUUCAAAUUAAACAAUAACAAAAUAGUCACUCUAAUGGUACUCUCUGUGACAAAUCAUCGAAAUAUAAUAAAAAUGAGCCAACAAAAGACAAGUAACCACUAAAAUGUAGGUGAUCCAAUAUUCUAGUAUUCAAUUUGAAAAUACCUUUAAAUCAUUGUAAUAAUUCGAACCUAUCCCUCCUUUUAAUAAUACUAAAAAUAAAAACUCUAAAAUAAGUUCUCUAUUAAAAAGAUAUUUAUUUUAAAAAAAAUUUAUUUACAUUAAAAGAAAAAUAUGUGAUUAUCCUCACUGAGCUAUAAUUCAAAUUCAUUUUAACAAAAAUCAAAACCUAAGCUAUAAUUCAAAUUCAUCUUAACAAAAAUCAAAACCUAAGAUCUUUAGUUACAAAUGAAUUCGUCGUCGUACCCAGUGCACAAGACUCUCGCUUUACGCAGAAUCUAAAAGAGGUGAAUGUCGGCUAACCUUACACUCAUUUAUGAAGAGGCUGGUCCAAUACAAAUGAAUUCGUCUUAACAAAAAUCAAAAUAUAAGAUCUCUCGGUGAAGAUGACGGAACGGAACCCGAAUAAGCUCAAACAGAACCCCGAAGAGGCUGAGAAAUUAGGCAGUACCUCAUCUCAAUCUGUUUAAAAUGCUGAGACACGGAACAACGUAUAUGGCGUAAUUCCAGACACACUCAUAUUACAAACUCGGUUUGAUUAUCGUAAAAUGCUUGGUUAUUUGAGUUAUUUGUUCCGUUGGUACGCGUUUUUGAAGCCGAUUUUAUGAAAAGAUCAACAAAAAAUGGAAAGUAAAAACAGAGACUGAAAUAGGAAGUAAAGACAUAAUAUGCUUCAUUGAUCUGAAAAACCAACAAGCUUAUAAUACCACAACACAAACACAACAAACACUUCCAGAAAACACCAACGAAGCCCUGAAAUCCACACACAAACCCUUAUGUUAUAAUCCCUGCACGAUUUUUCUCAGAACCCAUAUCACAGAAACAGCACUCAAAAGUUUCAACCAAUCUUGACCUCGAUUGUCUUCGGCUUCUUCGGCUCCGGCGGCGGCAGCUUCUGCACUGUGACAGUCAAAACCCCAUCCUGGCAAACAGCAGAAAUCGCAUCCACGUUCGCAUUCUCCGGCAACACAAACUUCCUCAUGAACUUGCCGACCCUCCGCUCCAUCCUCACGUACUUAGCCCCUUCCUUCUCCUCCUCCCGCUUCCUCUCGCCGCUGAUCAGAAGCACAUUGCCGUCCUCCACCUGGACCUUGAUGUCCCCGGACUUCAGUCCCGGCAUGUCCACCACGAACACGUAGGAGGUCGGGUACUCCUUGACGUCUGCCGGCGUGGAGGCCAUGGCCUUAGCGUCGCGGACAUAGGUUCGGGUGGGGGCGUUGAAGGACUUCUCGGCGUCGUCGGCGGCGUCCAUGAUGUGCUGAAGUGUGGAGAAGAGCGGGGCUUCCAAACCGGGGAUUCUGAGGUCCAUUCUUCGCUUCUUGGUGGGUGGAAUUUUCGCUCUUUGGUUUCGAUUUGAAGGCUUUUGUGAAUUGUCGAGUGGAAAUCUGGUCACUGUUACGGAGGAUGGUGGUGGUUCUGGGUAUUUAUAGGAGGAGAAGUUGAUGACGUGGGUUAGCAGGAAGGGAAUAAGGAAGGUUCUGGAGACACGUGGAGGGAAAGUAGGAUGUUCCAGUAGGUUCCAUUUUGUUCUUCGGUGACCGUCUAGAACAUUUUGGAAGGUUUUACCAGAGGCGGGCCACUUUAGUCAUUUGCCAUAUUUUUUGUUGGGUAAGACGAGGACGGAAAAGCUAAACUAAAAAACAGUACUAAAUUAAAAGAUAUGAGCAGAUAAAAAUAGGUGAUUUUGAUAUCCUAAUAAAUAAGGUGAUGAAUUUUAACUAUGCGUAUCAGUUGAAAAAUAUUAAACUCUAAGGUGAUGAAUUUUAACUAUGCGUAUCAGUUGAAAAAUAUUAAACUCUAAAUUGGCAGACAAAAAACAAGUUAUUACGGAAACCAGUUUAAUAUUGUAAUUAAUUUCACAUAAUGGUUCUUUACAUUUCCAAAAAGGAAGAGCACAAUAUAUUAACCUUAAUAUAUCAAAGACAACACCAACCUUCCUUUCCUUCUUAUUCUUUUUUUUUUUUUUUUUUAUAUGAAAGACCAAAUUAAAAGAAAAACAUAACCAAAGUAUAAGAAAUUACAGCAGACACAAAAAACCAAAUAACACGAUGCUUAUAUGCUUUAUGCACAUAUAUACGUACUGCCACCGCUAUUCAAUAGUAGCCUCAUGUAAACAGAUCAUGCACUGCCAUUAGAGCGAGCGGACCUCUGCUUACUUGUCACGCCCUUCAACUUGUCCUUCAUACCCACCGGCACCACGCUCCCCACCGCUCUGCCCACCUUGCCUGCCAUGUUCCCCACCUUGCUCACCGCCUUGCCUACCACGUUCCUCUUGGCCACCUUCUUCCCAGCCUUGACCACCUUUGCCUCCCUGGCCACCGCCUUGGUCACCUUGCCCACGGCCUUGCCUACCAUGUUCCUUUUGGCCACCUUCUUCCCAACCUUGACCACCUUCGCCUCCCUGGCCACCACCUUGCCUGCCAUGUUCCCAACCUUGGCCACCUCCCUGCUUGCCACGUUCCUCUUCGCCACCUUCUUCCCAGCCUUGACCACCUUUGCCUCCCUGGCCGCCGCCUUGGUUGCUGCUUAUCUGGAUCUGAAUAGUCUUGGGCUUCUUCUGCUCUGGCGGCGGCUUCUUCGCAACUGUCACAGUCAGCACCCCAUCCUGACACUCGGCCGAAAUCCUCUCAAUAUCGGCGUUGUCCGGCAGCACAAACUUCUUGAGAUACUUCCCGAGCCUCCUCUCCAUCCUCAAGUACUUGAUCCCCUGAUCCCUCUCCUUCUCUUUCUUCCUCUCCCCGCUCACCACCAGCACGUUGUCCUCCUCAAUCUUCACAUUAAUCAUAUCCGGCCUCAGCCCUGGAACAUCCACCACGAAAACGUACGCAUCUUUAGUCUCCUUCACAUCUGCGGGUGUGGCAGCCAUGGCCUUCGCCUCCCGGACGUACCGGCGAGAGGGGGCCUGGUAGCUUUGUUGGUUCUGCUCGUCGGAGAUGUCGAGCAGGUCGUGCAGGGUCUCCAGCAGGUUGGGAUCGAAACCCAAGUUCCUCAGGCUCAUCACUUCCAUACCCACGACAAUGAAAACGAUGAUAUAGUAUUCUGUAAAUAAAUUUGGUGCGUUUUUGUUAGGGUUUCGGAGAGGUUAUAUAGAGAGGGAAAAUGUGAAGCGGUGGUGUUUGUGAUUAUAUCGAUAGGGUUUGUCCUGAUGCCCCUGCUACGUGGGGUUGAGAUGGAGGUUUGGGUGGUCUACGUGGCAUGCGUAGAUGGCUAGUACAAAAUUACAAAUGCAUGGGGAGAAGAUGUGGCAAGCCUACUCCGCUCACGUGGAGAUCUAUUUUUCUUCAUGGAAAUCCAAAGUUGAGAUAUAUUUGAGUUCCAAAGCAAUAUAGUUUCAGCUUCUGGCAUGUUCUGCGUCAUGGAAUAUGUUCUACAGACUACAGAACUCUACCAUAUGACCCUCAAUAAAAAAAAUAUGAACGUGUGCAGCUCAAAAUUUUUCACUUUUUUCAUUACGAAAAUUAGUCGAGCACUGCUAUCUCAUAUGUUCCAUAAAUUAAAGAACUGGUCGUUAUUUUCAAAAGAACAAUGACCAUAAUUAAGGAUGAUAUCUAAUCAUUUAUGACUCAUUUGAAAAUAUUUUUAAAACUAUUGAAAGUGUUAGAGAAUAGUUUUGAAUUCUAAAAGCAUUUAAAAAGCUUUCUAUAGAAAAGACCACACGUAUUAAAGAUGCUAUAUAAUCAUUUAAGGCUUAUUUAGAAAUACUUUUAAAAUAAUAUAAAUACUUUAAAAAAAAUUAGAUUCCAAAAACACUUAAAGUGUUUCCCACAUGAUUCACUUGCAUUUUAAAUACUUUUUCUAGAAUUCACUUGUAUUUGUAUCUUAACUAAGAAUUCAUUUAAAAAUAUUUUAACUCAAAUCGUUUUUAACCAUUUUAAAAAUAUUUUUCAACGAACUCUUCUAAUAUUAUAUAAAUUUCAAAAUUUUCUCAUAUUUUAUGAGGAAUGAAUUCCUGUUUUCUCGUUCUUUAAUAUAAGAAUAAAGUAGUAUUAUUUUAUUUCUUGUCACCCAGCGUCAAGUGCGUAUAUAACUUAUGUUCAGUCCGUAACUGAUGUCUUUCUGUUAAAUGUACGGUCAGGCCCGAUCCUAAGAAUUUGGGGCUAUAAACGAGCCUUUGAAGUGAAGCUUUAAAGUUCUUUGACUCUCAAUUCUCUAUACAUAGUCCUGAGAAUUUGAGGUUAUAGAUGAGCCUUUGAAGUAGAGCUCUAAAGUUCUUUGACUCUCGGUUCUUUAUACAUAGGUAUUAAAAUAAAAAAAUAAAAAUAAAAACAAACAAACCUUGCCAAAUACAAAAAAAAUUAUAUUUCUACAUCAAAUAUAAUUAAAAUUUGAUAUAAAAAAAAGAUAGAUAUACAAACAUUACUUAAAUAUUAUACGUCUCACAUUUUUAAAUGCAAAUGUACUAAAUAUUUGCAGUCAAGAGUAAAAAAUUGAGAGUGAAGAACAAUAAAACUUAAUUGAUGAGUAUAAUAAAUUCCUCUUGUGUUUUUUUUAACAUCAACAUCACACUAACGAAUCAAAUAUUAAAAUAACCGGAUUAUUGAUAAGCAAACUAUAAAUUUAAAGUUUUUAUUACCUUAGAGUACAAUCUUCAAGGCCAUGUGAUAGUUGAUUUAAACAUUUGAUAGAAAUAGAAUGUAUGUGAAGUUGAAAGAAAAAAAAAUUGCAAAGAGACUUAAGUUUUAUAAUUUUAUAUGCAUUUGAAAGAUGGAUUAGGAGUAAUUUGAAAGAAAAAAAUAUUAGUGACUAAAAAGAUAGCUCCAUAUUUCGAACUCAACACCUCAAAGAAUAAAAAAGUUGGCCUCCCAAAUUUUUGAUUCCCCAAAGAAACCUUAACUCAUCCCUCUCAAGCGUAGGAUUGCCAAUUCGAAUGGCAACCAUGACAAAUUUUCCCGUUUAGCUCAUUCUCUCUCUUCCUUUUAUUUUUCUAUCCAAAUCCUUCCCUCUCUUCCCUCCGCCUUUUUUUCCGUCCAAUCAUUGGGUGGUAAUCAGUACCGGGUUCUAAGAGUUUAAGUCACGGGGGUUGCGGUCAGUGAAGAACUACUUGCGACUGAAAUAGAGAAGACAAGAGAGCAGCGAGAUCUAGUCCUGGCUAAUACCAUACUUUUGGUGGGGAUUAGUUAGAGCCAAUUAGCGAGGUCCAGAGUCGAGGCGAGUUCGAGCUAGCGUCAUUAAAGCUAAGUCUUUGCUGAGUCAAACACUAGACUACACUAGCUAUUAGUCUAGUCCAAUCCAGUGAGAGCUAAGGAUAUCAAACAAACACAUCCUAAAAGGAUAAAACAAAAUUCAAGCAAAAAAUUACAGUAUAUGUAGCCUGAGAUUUCUGAUUUUUGCAGUUUGUGGAUUUGAUUCAAGCAAAAAGGGGGAUGAGAUUCAAGCAAAAAGGGAGGCGGAGGGAAUUUUUGGUUUUGGUGGAAAAGGAAGACUGUAGUUUGUGGAUUUGAUUUAAGCAAAAUGGGAAUGUGAUUCAAGCAAAAAUGGGAGGCAGAAGGAAUUUUUUUUAUGGUUUUGGUGGAAAAAGGAGGAGGGAAUACUAAAGGGAGAAAUUAUUAGAAAACUCUAAUGGCGUUAGGAAAGGUGGAAACCCAGCCAUCAAUUUUUAUUUAAUAAUUACUCUGCCACAUGUCAUUUAUUUAUUGGUGGUUACUACCAGCUGUUAGUACCACGUGGUGGUGCUGUGCCAUCUAAUAAUUUCUCCACAGUGAGGUAGCAGCUGUGGAGUGCUCUCAUAUCACAACAAUCCCUGAAAUGUCGUUCCUGAAACUAAGGUACUUUCUGCUACUUGAUGCUUGCUCAACGCUCAGCUUGUGUUUUGUAUGUAAAUAAGUUAGAGAUUUCCUUCAUUGAUCGCUUUUUGGAUUUUGAGUAUGUUCAGUUUAGUCUCCAAACUAUUAUGAAUUGAGGUAGAUUACGGAAAACAAUGGCAAAUAGGAUAAUAACAUAUUAAGAAACUAGCACUUUCGUAGAACUUAGUGAUGAACACUGUGCUUCGUCUUCGUGUAUGCAAUCUUGAAGUGAAUCCACAUCGAGUAGGAGAAUUAAUAAUUUUGUUUAUUUUCUUAUCCCAUAUGUUACAUUCUCUCGACACUGCACUGGACAACCCUAACAAAAAAUUUAAUUUUGACAAUUAUUAUGUGGAACACCAUGCUGCACUAGAUAUAAGUACUUAUUCAUGAAACUCAAUAUAAAUUUCACAAGAAGUUUUAGGCGUCUCUCUAAUCCCACUUUCUUAAGUGAUUCACAGAUUAAGUUUAGUUUUAUGUCACUUAGUGAUAAGACUCAAUUCUCAAUUCCCUUAAUCAACCUGCAAGUAGCACAAGAAAGCUAUGGAAGAAGAGGGAAGGAGAGAUGAAGGAGCAAAGCUCCAAAUAUUUUUGUAUUUAAUUUCUUUGUUGUAAAUUCUGAUCUGCCACAUUUGAGGGAGCUAGGCUCCUUUUAAACAGACUCUACUUUUUAAAACGCCAGCUGGCAUAUUUAACAAUUCUUAACAAUUCAAUUAAAGCAUAAACCUCAAUUACAUUUUGGGUUCAUAACAAUAUUCCCCCCUUGAAAAUUAGCCUUGUCCUCAAGGCUUAAAAAUGGAAUUGUGGAAGUCCUCCCAAUUACCUGCUGUCCUCAAAGCAACAAGAAGUUGAAUCUGCAGAAAGGCACUCAUUGGCAGAUUCCUCCCAAGCCUUCUUCGAGUCAAGCUCCUGAUCUUCCUUAAUCAACUUAAGGCAUGAAUUCCAAUAGAUAGGGAAAAGAUUGAUGAAUUCUCAUUCUGAAAAUCUAGCAUCUUCACUAUGCAAACAGAGAGACCUACAAGCUGCCAACCUUACAGAUAGGUCUUUGUCCUAUAGCAAUCUGAUCAAAGCACAGUAAACUAGCAUUUUUGUGUCCUUUUUAAUAUCAGAAACCCAUUGUCCCAAUAUCAGUGCAACUUCCCAGGGGGUGAUACGCAUAUUUGGAUGAUCAAUAUGAACCAAUAAUUCUAAACAUGGUAGUGAACCAACCAAAACAGAUGACUGCAAAGGUGUAAUACUGUCAUUAUUUUCAGCAACAAGAUUAGCAUUGUUUUGUAAUAGAACUUCCACUGCAUCUUGGUGACCAUGACCAACAUCCCAAAUUAAGGAACUUCCAGCGUCUCUUGGUGAAUUAACAUAAGCACCUUGGGGUUCAAACACCCCAGUCCUUUUGUCAACCAACUCUGCCAAUUCUAUGUUCCCAUAAAUCCUACAUGUAAAAAGCAGAGAUCCCCAUAUAACCACAUCAGGUUGAGUAGGCAUAUCUCUGAUGAACUUUUCAGCCACAUUUAACAGAUUAGCACGGUUAAGAAGAUCCACAAUGCAUCCAUAGUGUUCAAUACGAGGAUUGAGCUUAUGAUUUUCAAGAUCCAUGCUAUGUAUCCAUUUAUCAAUGAAUCGGAGCAACCAUGACAAACCUCGAAGAAAUGAUUCAGUAAUGCAUUCCAUCUGUAACAAGCUAUGAAUGUGUCCUGCAUAAAGCGCACCUGAAAUAGCUCCAUGUAGUAAUAAUCGAACCGGUUGUGCUUGAGAAAUCUGAGCCGUUGCUUUUAUCUCCUUUGUCUCCCUUAAUUGUUUUUUGAAAGCAUGUCAACAAAACUUUGACAGCAAGAUUUUAACCAUAUUUUUCUGACCUCAUCACCAGUAUUGCAUAGCAAUCUUAUGCAGAGGACCAUCCCGGCAUAAGAAUCAUUGUCAAUUGGAUGUGGAAGAACUGGAGAUUGUCCUAAUUGCAACAUAGAAACAACAAUCAACAGUGCUCGUGAAAAUGGUUUAUUCACUUCAACUUUUGAUGGUUGGACCCCUUCCAAUCUCAGGGCAAGCUUGAUCAGAGGGUAUGCAACAAUUGUCCCAAGGAAAAAGUCACAAGUGAGAAGCAGGGAUCUCAAGUUCCUAGAUGCCACAGAUCCUUGAAAAAGGGUAGGAGGAGAGAAAGCAAUUCCAGAUGCAGCAUGAUGUGUGGCAUAAGUUCCAUCAGCAAGAAUAGUAGGUCUUUUAAAAGACACAGUCAUGGAGUUUACUUGCUGAACCGUUUGUGAAGAAUCAUUACUUUCUUCUUCCGAAACCGAGAGAAAAGGCAAUUCGCUUAGGCACUGUUUAAUUGAUGCAGUUCCACCUUUAAAUUCAGGAAGUGACGUGCAACAUGCUGCAAAAAUCCAAAGGCCGGAAGAGCAAACCCGUGAUGCUCGGAUUUGGUAGAAAGUGUCUAAUAGCUUUGUUAUUAUAGAUACCUUUACUCUAGGGUUGGUUUCUAUUAUUACUUGGAUAAGAACAAUCAUAUCAACAAAAGAAGCAACAUUGCUGCCUCCUAAGAAUUCCAUCAACAGAUGUACCAAUGUGCUCGCCACUUCUGGGAACUUUAUUGCACAAUAGUGAAUAGCCUGAAUAAGCAUCUUCCUGUAUUCACCAUUCUUUUCUAGCUCUCCAGUAUGAGCCGUGACAACUUCCCUUUUCAAAAUAAGAACAAGCUCAUUGAUAUUUGUGCAAGUAACCAAGCUAAAAACAAUGUCUAGGGUCUUCCUCCUGAUGUCAAGAUUAUGACUAGAAAGUGCCCUCAGCAUAUCCAGGAACAUAUCAGCUACUACUUCUCUAUGAGAAGACUUUAGCUCAGUCAGCCGAUCAAGAACAAUAAGCUUCACAUUGUUGUCACUUUGAGAAGGAAGCAGCUGAUAAUAGGUAUUGGCAGCAGCUCUCCCCUGCUCUUCACAGUUUGUUCGACAUAAUUUUCGCAAGAACAAAAUGGUUUGUGGGAUUGAAUGGUUGUUGGAAGGAUCAGAUGGGAAGUAUUUAUUGGAAAACCUUUCCUUCAUCGACUCAGUUAUUGCCAUAUUGUUUUCUCUCCAUCUCUUAGGCAAUUCAUCAAACAGAUGCAAUGCAAACAAAUUCUUCUUCACAAAUUUACCCACAAGAUACCAAUUUAUCCAACCAUAUUUAUCAUUCCGAAAUGCACUAUAGUUAUCAGUUAAAAGAGAAGGAAAUAUAACGUCCAAAGUUGUUAUAAUGAAACGCAAAUAGAGAACUACCUCAGCUCCAGUUUUCGUAGUAUCAAAGAAGAAGUGUGUUCGGAGUAGCCACGGAGCAAAGGUCAUCGUCGAAGCAUGAAUAACUCUCUUCGAUUCCGGCAAAGAAACUAUGGCUGCAGCGGAAUCGUUCGAUUGUGGCUUGACGGCCGAAGUUGCCAGUGCGCGCAACAUCGGUGAAGAUGAGAGCAAUGGCGGAAUGAAAUGGUCGUGGAUUGUCGACGAAAUUCGCAGUGGGUUGUUGUCUCUGUUGUGAGGUUUUUGGUGACCGACCUCGAUUGAUUCAGCUUCCACGGAACACAUCGAGGCUAGAUCAAAAUCUCCCUCAACAUCGAGAGCCAAGUCACGGUGUAACUGAGCAAGGUCCCUGUGGAUUGCUGCGAGUACAGGAUUCACAGCCUUGUGAAUGGCAGUGAGUGCAGAAUCCAUAGCUUCGCGGAUCGCAUCACGGAUCGCAGCACGCAUCGAAGCUUCAAAUGAAUCGAUUGCAGCGGAGAGGCGUGCAUCCAUGGCAGGAAGACGGGUCGGGUGGGCGUGCACAAGAGGGAAACCAGGAUUCGAGAAGGAUGAUACCAUUGAUAAGACUCAAUUCUCAAUUCCCUUAAUCAACCUGCAAGUAGCACAAGAAAGCUAUGGAAGAAGAGGGCAGGAGAGAUGAAGGAGCAAAGCUCCAAAUAUUUUUGUAUUUAAUUUCUUUGUUGUAAAUUCUGAUCUGCCACGUUUGAGGGAGCUGGGCUCCUUUUAAACAGACUCUACUUUUUAAAACGCCAGCUGGCAUAUUUAACAAUUCUUAACAAUUCAAUUAAAGCAUAAACCUCAAUUACAUUUUGGGUUCAUAACAAUUAGUUGUGGGGAAGGGGUGGAGAGUAGACCAAUGUCUUUACACUUUGAUUUGUUCACUGAUUUCGACUGCAAAGGUAGUAGAAAAGGUAAUAAGCCUUCUACUAAAAUGUAGAGUCAAUCUUCUGCUAACAUGUCAGGGCAAGUCAAGAUUAAUGAAAAAGCAGUAGAAACUAUUGACGGGCAUCUUGAGCUAUCAUUCAUUUUCUAACCUUAAAAGUAAAUUCCUGGAAUAUGUAGUGGAAGGAGGGCAAGUAUUUGUGCGAAUCUGAAUAGUAUUUGUCAAAUAUUUGGAUGAAUGUCUUAUAUAUUGAUUGUUGUAAUGUUGAAAUGUUUCUACAUGCAAUAUAUCUUCAAAAUUCAAAACAACUAUUUAUUGAAAACAAUCAUAGGAAUCUGAAAAAAAGUAUGAAAUAUGGACUUGCCUUCAUUAUUGAACUAGGAAAGCGAAAAACAAAACAGGCGUUUGACGAACUGAUUGUGAUCUGACUCAGAUAUGUGAUGAUGACGAUGCCUCAGCGCCUUGAUCGUGCCUCACCAUAGAACUGAUCUGGGAUGAUGCUUACACUUGAAAUUUUUGCCUUUUUCCAUUUCUGUAAUCUGUAGUAAUUAUCAUUUGAUUACUGGGAUGAUUAUUAGCAGAUGCGUCAUGGCUUGGUCCUACCGAACCGAGCUGGAUAUGGCUCAUAAAUAUAACCAACUUUGUCCAGAUCAUGCACAUUUUCCCUCAAAGGUUUCUCCCAUCCUAGAUUAACCCCUAUUCUCUUCACUGACCUAGGAUAAUUAGGUUCUGCAAUAACUAUUUCAACUUCAACUUCAUCUCCGCCUUGCAAAUUGAGCUUAUCGUUGGAUAAUUGUCCCUGCCAAAGGCCCUUUGGAAGAAUGGUCUCUAUAUCCACAUCAAAAAAUUCUAAGCUUAUGCAGGCCCGCAACUCAGUACGCUUAGUAUUAUUUAUAACGGUAAUGGCAAGAGGAAAAUAGUCAUUAUCGAUAUCGUAUUCGUCGUAAAUGCAAUACAAAGUCAGCCCUUCAAAAUUACGAUCAUCACUCAGGGGGAAUAGCAAAAUUGACUUUACUGCCAUCGUUGCUAGAUUGAAACCAAUCAGGAACCUAAUUCCCAUGGAGGACAAUGCCACCAAAUCCCCAAGAAGUCCUUCCCUAUAUAUACAAUGCAAGUGUCAUAUAUAUAAUUAUAUAUAUUAUAUACAUGUACAUGUGCGUUUGUAUAUAUAUUAUAACACUGAUAUUAUUCCCAACUUGGUAAUUACCACCUGCACAAUCCGUCAGAUGUGAGGUUUUAUCACAAAAGAUCUCUGUAAUAGUUGGAGUAGGAUUAGAAUAUUUAAACUCUUAUUUUCUCAUUAAUACGAUCGAUGUGGAACAUUUUAACAAUACUCACUCGUCUAACAAUUGUCUACUAAAAUGUUUAAAAUCUUGAAAAGCAGGUGAAUGAUUACCUAUUGUCAGUGAUUUGAAGAUGGUGGCCAGACAAAUCUGCAGCUUUUGUAAGAGCCUCUCUCCACUGCUUUACCCUUUCUUUCUUGGACAAGGAUUUUCUGCUCUCUAAUUUUUCAUGUCCUUCUAUGCCUUAUUGUUUGUAUAGUCACGGUUAAACCACGUCAACAUUUUAUAUUAUUAUUUAUUUUUAUCUUGUUAUCUUUAUAAAAAAAUAAUAUAAAAUAUUAACAUAACUUAAUGAUGACCACACAAAACAGAAGAACAUGAAAAAUUAGAGUGCAGACAAUCCUUGUCUUUCUUUCUUGGAUUCAUGUUUCUUGUCAUCUUUUUCUUCAUCAAUGCCCUCUUCGUGCUUUUUAAAUACUUCGGCUAAAUCUCCAUUCUGCUUCUUGACAUGCGAAGGAUCAACGUGAUAGAAUAUUGGAAAAACAUGUCGCCCCCGUUUGGCUCUGCACUCCAUGAUCUUCACCAGCUCGUCAAGACACCAACUUGAAUCCGCAUACCUCUUUGAGAAGACAAUGAUAGAGACCCUCGACUCUUCGAUUGCCCGGAACAGUUCCUCUUUUAUUUCUUCCCCUCUUUUUAGAUCAUCCUCGUCCAUAUAAGCCUUGUAUCCCUUGUAUUUGAAUGCCGCGUGGAGGUGGCCUGUAAAGCCCUUGCGAGUGUCUUCGCCUCUGAAGCUGAAGAACAUGUCGUGAUUCCAAAGUUUUGACUUGGAGGAGGAUGAAGAGGAGGCUUCAAGGGCUGUCAUGGCGGUAUCCACUGUUUGGCACUGCAAUGCUUCAGAUCACGACUGAAAAAAUGGCAGCGGUUAUGUUUGUGUUACCAAACCGAUGAUACUUAAUUACAGAAGCCAAGUCAACCUUUCUUCAUUCAACAAAAACAAAAGUUUAUAAUAUAAUAAUGUUGGCGUAGGGACUUGAGAAAUGAUAUAUUGCCGGCCGGGAGGGUGCAGAGAGGGAGAGAGAGAGAGAGAGAGAAAGAGAGGAAAAGAGGAAAGAAACGAACAUGAAAACACAAAAACCAUCCAAAAGAUUCUUGGUUGUAAUUACUACUAUUCAACUAUCAACAAUGCCUAUUAUUUUUAGGUUAAAAUUGGGAAAGUAUUUGCGAAUAAGCAUGGCAACAACUACAUAACAAAAAAAAAGUGGGUCGAGAAAAGAUCCAAACGUGAAAGGAUAAUCAAGCAUAAGUUUCAUGACCUUUUUUAUUCUUAUUCCUUUGUUAUAAGGUCCCACAUCUUUGACACUAAAAGGAAGAUGAUGUCUUGCCUUGUUAGCUUGAUCUUCAAGUCGCUCAGUAGUAGUCCAGGGUUAUAGUAAUGACCACUCCUUAACAAAAAGAGAAAGGAAUUUUGGAUUUAUUGUUGCUUAUAUUAUUGCAUUAAUUGAUGAUUUAUUUUUGAUAUUCUUGCGGAGUAGUUUAAUUGGUUUUGCAAGAUGUGUUUUUUUCAGAGAGAAAGAUUCAAGUGCAAGAUAUUCGGGUUGGGAUUUGUAUUAGGUUAAAGGUUUAUCAAGGUAAACCAAAGGGGGGGAUUAAAUUUUAGGUUUAUUACUGUUACCUUACUUGACUAGAAUACAUCAAAUGAAGUACUUGCCAACUUUCUUGCAUUUGCGAUGUUCCUACAGCUAUUCAUGAAGAUAAUGACGCUUAUAUUGAUCAAACAAACAAAAUGAGACAAAACCAAGCAUAUUGCAUUGUCCUCACAUUAGCAACAAGAGCAUCAAAGAUAGCGCUGGGUGCGGUUUGGAUUGGUUCAGUUUUGGGUCCAAGACAAGAUGACAUUAAAAGUUUUAAAUCAUUCGUUUGGAAAAGAGAAAAGAGUUUUAAAAUUGCAAUGAGGCAAAUGAGGCAUACAAUACAUCCGACAGUGUCUUUUCAUAUGACGGACUUGGUCUGGCUGCAAUUUGCAAUGACUUUCUUGGCCGUGAGUAGUAACAGCUAGCUAUUCAACUCUUACGCAAUAUAUAUGUAAAUUGGGUCCGUAAUUUUAAGCAUAUGCCAUAUAGUAAUAAACCACAAAUUAAAAAAAUUAUUAACAAAGUAAAAAAAGGGAUAUAUGAUGAGGAGCAUGUCUAUGAGGCUUCACUGAUUGAUGAGAUGGGGACUCUUCAGCCACUUCGCUACCAUUGGCUACCAUUUAAGAGAGAGAAAAAAAAACUACCAUUAGCGUAAGCUGAACAAAAAUCAUCAAAUUAUUUUGGCUAUAUCUUUCCUUGAUCGAUUUUUAAAUAAAAAUAAUAUACGAAAUGGUUACAUAAACGAAUACUAAAAACUGGGUAGUCGCGAAGUAUAUACCUUCUUGAUGCCUUUUUGAGGUCGCUGGGAACGUGGAGUGAAAGAGAAAGGAAAAAAGAAAAUGAAUGAACACGAAAGAACAAAGACUAUUGGCUAAAUGGUCAUUGAGAUUUGUAUAACUCAUCAUUUUGGUCCCUAAGAUUCUAAAUCGAUAAAAGUGGUCCCUGAAUUUGUCCACCAUCCAUCAUUUUGGUUCUUCCGUUAAAAACUUUUUAAGUGUCCCGGAGUUUUUGGCCGGAAGUUUGAGCAAUUUUCAAAGUUUCGUAACUCAAUCGUUUCUUAACCAAAUUCGACCCAUAAUAUAUCAAAAUGAAGAUAGGAAAGUGUAGAAUAAGAUUAUACCUAUUUGGAAGCCCAAUGGUUGCCGGAGAUUGCCGGAAAAUAGCCUCAAAAUUGACUGGUCCGAGGGAAAACAUGAAAACUCGCUAGAAACUGGGUACACUUUAAACAUUCAUAACUUCUUCACUACUCAACGAAAUCAAGUGAUUCAAAAACAAAAAUCAUAGUUCUCGAUGAGAUGAAGAGAAUGUUACCUUUUUUUUACGGCUAACUAGCCUUGGUUUGGCAGGAAAACGGCCCGAAAGUGGCUGUCUUGGUCUUGAGUUAGCCACUUUCGAGCCGUUUUCCGGCCCAAAUACGGCAAUCUAGCUAUAAAAAAAGGUAUCAUUCUCUUCUUCUCGUUGAGAAAUAUGAUUUUUGUUCUUGAAUCACUUGAUUUCGUUGAGUAUUGAAGAAGUUAUGAACGUUUAAAGUUUACCCAGUUUCCGGUGAGUUUUCUAAUUUUUGCUCGGACCAGUCAACUUUGAGGCUAUUUUUCGGCCAUCUCCAGCAACCAUUGGGCUUCGAAAUAGGUAUAAUCUUAUUCUACACUUUCCUAUCUUCAUUUUGAUAUAUUAUGGGUUGAAUUUGGUUAAGAAACGAUUGAGUUACGAAGCUUUGAAAAUUGCCCAAACUUCCGGCCAAGAGCUUCGGGACAUUUAACGGAGUUUUUAACGGAAUGACCAAAAUGAUGGAUGGUGGACAAUCUCAGGGACCACUUUUAUUGAUUUGGAAUCUCAGGGACCCAAGUGAUGAGUUAUGCAAAUCUCAGGGACCAUUUUGGCUAUUUAGCCAAGACUAUUAAAUAGAUUAUAACAAUGACUUUUUGGCAUGAUUACAGCUAUCAACUAUAAGUAAUGCAAUUUAUUUAGGUUGAACAACCACAUAAUAAACAAAAAUGAUUAGAAAAAUAGACCCAAAUGUUAAAGGAUAAUUAAAAAUAAUUAUUCAAGAUGGUUGGUAAAUGAUUCAGCCAUUUAUAAUAUUCAAACUUAGAACAACAAUCUAUUGGAUCAUUAUAUAAAUUAUUAAGUGAUGCUCUAAUAUAAUACACCUAAAUAGGGAUGGACCACAUAAUACACCCAAAUGGACCAGUGUUAGGCUCCACUGCUAAAAACUUGCAAAAUCAUUGUAUUAACUAUUAAGGAUUAAACUUGUAUUAUACAUAUAGACAAUGUUUUACAAGCACAAGGGAGCUAACAGUGUCUAUUGAUAUGACUUGCACUUGGGAGUACUCGCUGCAACUUGCAUGCAAUGACUUUCUUGGCGUAAUGGGGGAAAGAGGAAAGAAACUAGCACGAAACUGCAUGCGCUAGCUACCGAUUCAUUUAUAAUAUUAUAUUAUAUAAUGAUAAUGUUAGGAAGAUUAAAAUAAAUUAAAUUUGUAAAUUAAAUGAUGUUUAUUAAUAAGAAAUAAGUACGUUAAUCAACACGUAAAUAAUAAUCUAAUCAUCAACAAUCAUAUCAUUUAGUUUAUAAAAUGGGAUAUUUUGGAUGCGGUCUCUAAUCUUUAACAUUCUUUGAUGAAAACCUUAAUAGUAUUCAAAGUUUAAUCAAAGUCCCUUGACUUUGUACACCUCAUUAUAUUACAAUUAAUAUUUAUAUUUUUAUAGUUUUGACAUUAAUUGUUUGAUAUUUUAUGAGAUUUAUAAUCCUAUAAAUUUAAAAUCCCUCAUUAUAAUACUAUUAGAAACGGUUACAAUAAAAAAAUUCAAAUAUUUUGAUUGAAUAAAUGAAUAAAAACUAUGUAAAAAUAAUAAAUAAUAAAUGGCAAAAGAAUGUAUCCAUAGUGUUAAAAAAAGUGGUACAUUAAUAAAGAAGAAUGGGUAUAUUAGAAAUAAAUUAGGGUACAGAUAAAAGAUUAAAAAUUAUGAAUACAAAUGAAUUUUUUAAAAUAUAGGCGCUAAAAGAAAUUAAUACAUGGGUACAAAAUAAAUCUAAAAAGAAAAUACUACAAAUUUUAAAAAAAAAUGUUGCAAAUUAAAAGUGGGUUCAAACUAAAAAUAUAAAUAUAUGAUACAAAGUUUAGGCAUAAAACAUAAAUAUACCAUAUGUAAUUGUUCUAUUAUUGAUUAAAUAUACAAUGUCACGUAACGGUAUACACAUGGGUACAAACAUAAAUAAAACUUUAAAAAAUAUGGGCACAAAAAGAAACUAAUAUAUCGGUACAAAUUAAAAAUGAAAAGAAAAUUGGUACAAAUUAAAAAAUAUUUGCAAAUUAAAAAUAGCUACAAACUAAAAAUAAAAAUAUAUGAUAAAAAAUUUAGCCAUAAAUAUAAAUAUACUAAUUGUAACAUUUUUAACAUUAAAGGAAUAUAUUUAAAAAUAAAAAUAUUUUAUUAUUCAAAUAAUUAAUGAUGUUAUUAAUACCGAAGGACCUUGAUCAAAAAUUGAAAAUGAAUAGGAUUUUAAUCAAUGGAGUAACAAAAAUAAAGAUGUGAACCUAAUUUUCCCUUAUAAAAUUUAAUUUAGAAAUUUUGUGCUUCGGCAAGUUUGUAAGAAAUCUUCACGUCUAAAAUACGAUAUGAUUAUAAAUGUAAGUACUGACGACCUCAAAUCUUAUUGGAGCUAAUUAGCUAAUGUAAGAAACAAUCUUAUUUGGAUUCCUUAGCAAGUGGUUAACUAUUUGUUUCUAGUUUAGAAGUGUAGCAGUAAUUAAUUAGUUGAGAUUAAUAUCUUAAUAUUUUUUUUUCCAUCAAUUGUAAUCUAUAUUCUUGUAACACUCAUCAUUUGUUAAUAAUUUGUGCUUCGGCAAGUUUUGUUGCAGGAUCGAUCGAGGGGAGAGGCUUCUUUCAGAUACUCUGUAUGCAAUAUUGGAGAGAUAUAGAAUGUUCAAAGAAACUGAUUUCAAAUGAAGCUAGUGAAUGACAUAGUUGUUUUAGAUGGACGAGCAAAUGCAGCAGAUAGCCAACCCUUUAAAAUUAUGACCAUCAUUUUUAGGCAUAACAAAGUCGCCUACAUAUUUUUUCAUAAGCAAACUCAAACCGUUUGGGGUUAUCAUAAAUCCCGUUGAGAUAAAUGCCACAAUAUCUGCUUGAAGUCCAUCCCUGUACAUGUUGAAAUGUACAAGAAACUCACAUCAAAUUUGUCAAAAUUAAAGAUGACUUGUAUAUUGUGUGGUUUUCACUUCUAAUUAUACCAAGGUAUUUUGUGAUAAACUUUCACAUAUAAUGUUUUAUGCAUGUUGUAAAAUUCAAGUUGAGAGGAAGUAUUGAUGUUGUUAAUGAUGGUCGUUGAUUACGAAUCUCGACAUUAUUUGCAUUUGUUAUGUGAGUGUGUCGUAAGAUGUAUGAGAAGCAAGUCUAUGAGGCUCCACUGAUUGAUGAGAUAGGGACUAUUCAACUAACAAAAAUUUUGUUCAAAAAUAAAAACUAAUACACUGCAAUCACUACCAUUUAUACAAAAACUCCUCUCUCUCUCUCUCUCUCUCUCUCUCUCUCUCUCUCUCUCGAAGAGGCGGCCUUUAUUUAAGAGAGAAAAAAAAAAUUAAAUAUUACUGUAAAUGAACAAAAAUCAACAACUUAUUUUAGUUAUAUGUUUCCUUGAUCGAUUUUUAAAUAAGAAUGAAAAACGAAAUGGUAACAAAAACGAAUACUAAAAAAUCAAUAGUCGCGAAGUAUAUACCUACUUGAUGCCUUCUAGAUGUCGGCUGGGAAGGUGGAAUGAAAGAGAGAGGAAAAGAGGAAAGAAACAAACAAGAAAGGAAAAAGACUAUCCAAUUAUAACAAUGACUUCUUGGCGGUGAUUACAGCUAUUCAAUGCAUUAUUUUAGGUUGGAAUUUGGAAGCAUUUAAGAAGUGGCAUGACAACAACCACAUAAUAAACAAAUGUGAUUAGAGAAAAGACCAGGGCCAACCCAGCCUUAGUGUGGGCUGGGUGACCGUCCAGGUCCAAAAAUUAUCACGGGGGUAAUUUCAUAAAUGCUUUCAUAAGAGUAUAAAUUUAUACAAUUUUUUUUUGAAUGACCAAACAAUUUACCUAGAAUAGUGGUUUUUGUUGUAAAAAUUAACAAGAGGUUCUGAGUUCAAAACAUUGCGUGUUUAUUUACUUUUCAAUUUUUAUGAAUUUCUUUUAAUAAGAGUAUAAAUUUAUAAAAUUUGACAAAAUGAUCAAGAAAUUUAACCAAAAGUGAUGGUUUAUGUUGUUUGAAAAUAACAAGGAGGUACCAGUUCAAAACUCUAUGUGUUUUUUUUACUUUCUAGUUUUUACAAAUUUCUUUUCAAAACGCAAUCAUUUACGAGAUUCGGACUAAAAUUACGAACUACUAAAUCACUCUAUUAAUAUUAAGUGGUGCUUUAUAUAAUUAUUCGGAAUUUAAAGGAGGCAUAUGGGGUUGGAACAUCAAUUUAAAUCUCUCAAAAAAAUAAAAAUCCUAGACAGACAAGAAAAUCAAAAUACAGAAUGCGAUUGCAAAACAAUGCUCGUCUGAUGAAAGAGAAAAAUAGUAGUAGUAAUAUUCCCUAUAUACGCUGCAAUAGGCUUGCCUUUCUCAGCAGUAAGUUCCCAAGGAGCAAUCGGCCCGUGGAUAAUCAUGUCAGCAUCCAGAAUCACAACCCUAUUAAGAACAAAAAAUGCACAAAUAAUCCAAAUUUAGGAGAUGUGGUUGUUUAAUUGUACCUAAGGUGUAGUAGUUAUUGUUGGUGUUUACCCUUCAAGGGAGUCGAAGAUCUUGAAUUAAAGAGGAAUGCGGAAACUAGGAUUAAUAUUCAAUUUCUAUGUAUACUGGACAAUUUAAAGAUUGAGAUUUUUUUUCACUUCUACAGUUCUACACACUUUCUAGACCUAAAUAUUUCCGAGAAACAAACGAAAAGUGAAAAAAAUCGUACCCGGUCCUAGAGAGCAUACGUGAGAGGUUUUAAUCCAAACAUAAAAAAAAAACAAUUGACAACUAAAUCAGAAUUUUGACAACCAAUCAUCAAAAAAUUCAAAAUUUCUAAAACCUUUCGAUCAACUUUGGACUUACAUUGCAGUCUGUAGCUUUUCCAACCACAACGAAGGUAAUCGAGAAGGAAGCGAGAGCAUGGAGCAGCUCCCAUGGGAGCUCCUUGACAAAUGGUCUCCUAAAUACUGAAAAAUUAACCAUUUUUCAAAGUAAAUGCAGGGUUCAUAAAACUCAUGUGAAACUUAUUAAGAUUAAAAAACUUAGGCGAAUCAGUUUGUUCACAUACCUCACAUCCUGAGCCAAGAGAGCCAGAGGCUGCUGCUGCUGUUUUCGACAAAAUUGGGGCAAUGGUGGAGGAAGAUAGGAGGAGGGUUCUGGCAGAGCAAAUUGAUGAAAAAAAAAUAGAAGGGAAAAUGUAACACGACUUAGUAAUUUUAUAUGUUACGAAAGUAGUGAUAAAGUCCUGAUAAAAUAUCUACAUCUUUAUAUCUUUCCACUUUGAUAGCUAAAUUAAUAUUCUUAACCGAACCAAGUUCUUGAAUUAAAGAAUCUGGGGCUCUCUAUAGCACUGGAAAGAAUAUAACAUAUGAUUAAACAUACACAACCCAAAAGAUCCAUCCAGGCUAACCCCAUUGAAUUAAAACAAAUUCAACCAGGAAACAAAAAAAUUAAGAACAACCCAAAAACCAAAAGAACCCUAUUGUAGUUUUAGCUCACUAACCCAUCGAAUGAAAACAAAUUCAAUCAAAGAACAUAAAAUUAAUAACCCAGAAAUUUAAUCAAAUAAUUCUGCAAAAAAAGACACCAUUGGGUAUCGAAACUCAUGAAGAGCUCGGAAAUAAUCAAACCAACAUCCAAUUUAGUACACACCUAAGAAAAAUAUAAGCAAGAAACCAUUCCCAACUCUCCAAUCAUUCAUCAAACACAAUAAUACAAUCAUAUAAAACUCUCAUUCAUUUAUCCAAAUUGAAUUAAUUCAAUCUUCAGUGGAAGAUCUCAGUUAUUAUUAGAUAAUCUACCACUGAAUCAGAAGAGUUGAACAGAAAAAGGUAAACCAAACCAAAUUAUCCAUUUCAAAAGGCUGAAGCAGUGAUGUAAAUUAUCAAGGGGGGAACAUAUAGGGAAAAGAUAAGAAAAAAUGGCUUACCAAUUGUGGCUAUUGCCACCCCAAACAAAGACAACAGCAACAGACCUGAAAAAUUGAAUGCUGAAUUAAAAGAAACAUAUAUUGGAGAGUCAAAUUGAUAAAAAAUCCAACAUAACCAAAAUUUACAUUAACAGAUAAACAUACACCAGAGUAAAGAAAAAGAGAACCAAUGUGUUUCUGGUAAGGACCCAGCAAACCACCUAACACUUCAUACCACUUCUCAAAAAAAUUCCACAGAACAGAAUCAAAUCAAAAAAAAAAUUUGGUCUGAACUGAAAAUUAAGUAAAAAAAUUAAAACUCUUUUCUGAUUUGAACAAUAAAAUGCCAACCAAAAAUAAAAUAUAUACAAAGAAAAUAUAUAAACACAUUAAAAACUGAAAAACAUUCUUGCAUUCUGAACUAAGCAACAAACACUUGCUUUCAGUUUUAUAUAUUUAAACUCAUGACUGAUGAUAAAAUUACCAAAAUUUAGAAACAAUGUCAAUGAUAAGGACAAUGACUAAAAUUUCAUAUGACUAAAAUUUAGAAAAUGCAGAAAUUUGGCUCUGAACGAUUAAAAUAUAGAACAACAAAAACAAAACAAAAAAAAACAAACAUAAAUACUUACCGGUAAUAAAUCCCACCCACCACAGAAGCUCUAAGAGAUAAGAAUACCCUUCAUAACCUAUUACAAUCAAGAAUCAAUGAAAACAUUUCAGAAAAUCAAAAUCGUAAAAGCAAAAACUGAAAUUUUGAGGAAAAUUUGAAAUAAAUAAAUAAUCAUCAACUCUGACUCCAGAAGUAGCUGUAGGUACCUCAAAAGUGAGAGACAAAGCGAAGA
RNAcentral lists this long non-coding RNA (40786 nucleotides) under Malus domestica (apple). RNAcentral's name for it is "long non-coding RNA (MDOM_LNC007304)". The record is from RNAcentral. Lineage: Eukaryota; Viridiplantae; Streptophyta; Magnoliopsida; Rosales; Rosaceae.